Molecule: ribosomal RNA, 510 nt
Filed under: uncultured bacterium
Lineage: Bacteria
Description: bacterial SSU rRNA
Rfam family: Bacterial small subunit ribosomal RNA
Source: RNAcentral
AGCGAACGCUGGCGGCAGGCCUAACACAUGCAAGUCGAACGGACCCUUCGGGGUUAGUGGCGGACGGGUGAGUAACACGUGGGAACGUGCCUUUAGGUUCGGAACAGCUCCUGGAAACGGGUGGUAAUGCCGAAUGUGCCCUUCGGGGGAAAGAUUUAUCGCCUUUAGAGCGGCCCGCGUCUGAUUAGCUUGUUGGUGGGGUAAUGGCCCACCAAGGCUACGAUCAGUAGCUGGUCUGAGAGGAUGACCAGCCACAUUGGGACUGAGACACGGCCCAAACUCCUACGGGAGGCAGCAGUGGGGAAUCUUGCGCAAUGGGCGAAAGCCUGACGCAGCCAUGCCGCGCGUAUGAUGAAGGUCUUAGGAUUGUAAAAUACUUUCACCGGUGAAGAUAAUGACUGUAGCCGGAGAAGAAGCCCCGGCUAACUUCGUGCCAGCAGCCGCGGUAAUACGAAGGGGGCUAGCGUUGCUCGGAAUUACUGGGCGUAAAGGGAGCGCAGGCGGACAUUU